ACCGCGGUUAUACGAGAGGCCCAAGUUGACAGACACCGGCGUAAAGAGUGGCUAAGGAAAAAUCAUUACUAAAGCCGAACACCUUCAGAACUGUCAUACGUUCCCGAAGAUAAGAAGCCCCACCACGAAAGUGGCUUUAUAUUACCCGACCCCACGAAAGCUGUGAAACA
RNAcentral lists this ribosomal RNA (170 nucleotides) under Cichla temensis (speckled pavon). RNAcentral's name for it is "partial small subunit ribosomal RNA". The record is from RNAcentral. Lineage: Eukaryota; Metazoa; Chordata; Actinopteri; Cichliformes; Cichlidae.